GAUGAACGCUGGCGGCGUGCCUAAUACAUGCAAGUCGAGCGAACAGACGAGGAGCUUGCUCCUCUGACGUUAGCGGCGGACGGGUGAGUAACACGUGGAUAACCUACCUAUAAGACUGGGAUAACUUCGGGAAACCGGAGCUAAUACCGGAUAAUAUAUUGAACAGCAUGGUUCAAUAGUGAAAGACGGUUUUGCUGUCACUUAUAGAUGGAUCCGCGCCGCAUUAGCUAGUUGGUAAGGUAACGGCUUACCAAGGCAACGAUGCGUAGCCGACCUGAGAGGGUGAUCGGCCACACUGGAACUGAGACACGGUCCAGACUCCUACGGGAGGCAGCAGUAGGGAAUCUUACGCAAUGGGCGAAAGCCUGACGGAGCAACGCCGCGUGAGUGAUGAAGGUCUUCGGAUCGUAAAACUCUGUUAUUAGGGAAGAACAAAUGUGUAAGUAACUAUGCACGUCUUGACGGUACCUAAUCAGAAAGCCACGGCUAACUACGUG
Molecule: ribosomal RNA, 497 nt
Filed under: uncultured bacterium
Lineage: Bacteria
Description: partial 16S ribosomal RNA
Rfam family: Bacterial small subunit ribosomal RNA
Source: RNAcentral